Long non-coding RNA from Bombina bombina (fire-bellied toad), 979 nucleotides. RefSeq lists it as uncharacterized. The transcript has 2 exons. Lineage: Eukaryota; Metazoa; Chordata; Amphibia; Anura; Bombinatoridae. The record is from RefSeq and is a predicted model, not a curated record.
CACCUCCAUAGGAGGCAAAGUUUGUAAAACUGAAUUGUGGGUGUGGUGAGGGGUGUAUUUAUAGGCAUUUUGAGGUUUGGGAAACUUUGACCCUCCUGGUAGGAUUGUAUAUCCCAUAUGUCACUAGCUCAUGGACUCUUACCAAUUACAUGAAAGAAAUAGGAGUCUCUGGUCUUGUAAUAAAAUCUGACUAAACCCAAGCCUGUAGAGUUCCUUCUUUAGUGGCAGGUCAAGAGCUGGAGUUGCCAAUGAUUCCCUUUUAAAGACCGGAUCCACCACGCUCUCUAUAUUAUCUUUGCAGGCCUGAACAUUCUUAAAGGGUGCCAGAUUUCCGUUGGUGUGCAACAUUAAGAGCAUGGGAAUAGGAGCUUUUGCAUCUUCCAGCCCAGUUUUAUGAUCCAUUGUCCCAUUCAGAUGAUCACUCACAGAGUGGAGCGGUUCAUUCAGAUGAUCAUUCACAGUGGAGUGGUUCACUCUGGAGAGCCAAAGCGCCAUCUUUAUCUUGCAGAUGUGUGUUUCAUGUAGUGAUAGCGCUGAUGCGGACUGUCUGUGUAUUAUACAUUUAUCAGCCAAUCCCAAGAUCCCCAAUAAACUGGAGCCAAUGAUGUGCCGCAAAGUGUUGGAGGUGUGUCAAGCCCGGGACUUUUAAAAAGCAUCAGCGGUGUACUCUUUUCUACUACUCUUGAGAAAGUCAGGACGUUGCCUGACAAAACGUGUAGAGACUCUCCUUUUGGCUCUACCACGUCCCUGGUCACACCGGGUUCUCACGUUGGCGUAUACCCUGAUCAGGCGCAGUUUCCUGUGGAGGUUCCGGAAGUCCCUCAGAUGAGCGCAAGGAUAGGGUGACAGAUUUCAGACCCAUCGUAACCGGUUAAGAACUUUGUGAUGUGGUGAUUGUGCAUGUUAAUGUUUAACAUUUUGUACGUGCGAUUUAUUGCGCUUUUUAUUUGUGUUCAAAUUAAACAAUAUUACUCUUAGA